CACGUAGGCACCAAGCGUUGUCCGGAUUUAUUGGGCGUAAAGAGCUCGUAGGCGGUUCAGUAAGUCGGGUGUGAAAACUUUGGGCUUAACCCAAAGCGUGCAUCCGAUACUGCUGUGACUUGAGUUCGGUAGGGGAGUGGGGAAUUCCUAGUGUAGCGGUGAAAUGCGCAGAUAUUAGGAGGAACACCGGUGGCGAAGGCGCCACUCUGGGCCGAAACUGACGCUGAGAAGCGAAAGCAUGGGUAGCAAACAGG
This 254-nucleotide ribosomal RNA is filed under the name uncultured bacterium. RNAcentral describes it as "partial 16S ribosomal RNA". It matches the Rfam family "Bacterial small subunit ribosomal RNA", at positions 524 to 776 of the family's 1533-position model. The record is from RNAcentral.